AAUACAUAUAUAUACGGGUUAGAGCCGGGUUGGUUAGGCGCCUCAUUUGGGUUGAGGAAUAGUUAUGUUCGAGUCAUAAUAACCCGAGAUAGAAUAUUAGUAGUAAAGGUGUAUAUAAAAGCAAAUAGUUAUGUAUUUGAUAUGUAAUGUAUUAUUUCAUACUUUAAAUGUCUUAACUCUUUAGAUAGAUUUAAAAAAUAAAGUAUGGUAAGUAUAUAAAGAGAUUAUUAAGGAUAAUUAGCUGUAUAUUGAGGAGUUGACGAAUUGAACCUUUUAGAUUCAAAUUGGAGAUAGCUGGUUCAUACACUCCUGGAAAAAAUUCUAUAUCUAAACGAAGCGAAUUGAAAUAUCUUAAUAGCUUCAGGAAAGGAAAUCAAAUGAGAUUCUAUGAGUAGUGUGAAUGAAAGUAGAUAUGCCUAUAUGAGUAAAAUGGAUUUAUCUGUUUGAAUAAAGGGGAACCUUCCUCUAAGGCUAAGUACGGUAUACAAGCGAUAGAGAAAGUACCGUGAGGGAAAAACUUUGAAUUAGUAGUCUUAUAAGCAGCUCAAGUUAAGUUGAAUAAAACUAUAAGAGCGUACCUUUUGUAUAAUGGGUCAGCAAGUUCUAACUAGAUGCGAGCAGUGAUGCCCAGAUAACCCAAUUAUUAAGUAAUGAAUAAGUAUCUAAGUAGAGACCCGAAGAGUAGUGAUCUUGCCAUGGUCAGGCUUAUAAAAGGCCGAAUGGGUUAUCGUUGCAAAGAUAUCCAAAGAACUGUGGUAAGUAGGUGAAAGAUAAAACUGACUACUAUAGCUGGUUUUCCGCGAAACAUAUGUAAGUAUGUGGUUUUUUACAACAUCAUAACAGGUACAGUAUUGUGAUCUCGGGCAAAUUGUGCAUUAUUUUAUAAUGUCUUUUUGUGCACAUGGGGGAGUCGUCGAAAACUCUAUUCGCGAGUAUUUGCUCUCGGAAGGGACAUGAUGAAUGUAAGGCUAUCAGACAUUGAACGCUAAGGUUGUAUGUCAAAAGGGAAACAGCCCAGAACAAGUGUUAAGGUUCCAAAGUUAUUGUUAAGUGAAAGUAAGGUAGUUUUUAAACUAUACAACCAGGAAAUGGGCUUAGUAGCGGCCAUUUUUUAAAGACCUCGUAACAGAGCACUGGUUCAAUAGGUUAAUCUUACGUUAACCUAUCAUUUUAGUUAAAAGCGCCGAAGAUUUAGCGGAUCUAAACAAUGCACCGACACCUUGUCCAUAAAAAAAACAUAUUUAGAUAUUGUAUAAAAUUUAUCAAAUAUACACACUUAGGAUAUAUAUGUGAAAAAAUAUCUAAGGUUAAUUUAUGGGGUAGCGGAACAUUGGGUAAAUCUAUGAAUUAAUCUUUUUUAAUGUUAAUUUUUUGAUAUCCCAAGGGAUAAUGCUGACACGAGUAACGAAAAAGGAUUACAUCUUUUAAGGGUGUAAUAAGUUUAUCUUUCAAGUUAAUCUUAUUUUUCCACAAAAGAUGGCCUCGCCUUAAGCUUAUGGCAGUACAAAACGGCCUCUAAGUUUAACCCAAAGGAUAAAACGAUGAGACUCUCUAUAUGUAACAACAUUAAAUAAAUGGUUAGUGUUCUGGAAAAAGCAUGUAGAGCAAUAAUAUUAGGGAAUAAACUGAAACAGAUGAUACUGAUUUAUUGAACAGGUAUAUUAGAAAAUAAACUAAAACAGAUGAUUCUAUAUAUAUCCUGUUUACCGUACCUAGAAUCUGACACAAGUAAGCUAGUAGAGAAUACGAAGGCGCUUGAGAUAACAAUCAUUAAGGAACUCGGCAAACUGACACCGUAACUGAGGGAUAAGGUGUGCCGUACCACUGAGUUGUAUCAGUUGGGAGAGGAGACAGAGAGUGAUGUUGCACGACUGUUUAAUUAAAACACAGCACUUUGCGUAAGAUGUAAAUCAAUGUAUAGAGUGUGCUAUCUGCCCGAUGAUGGCUGGUUAACGGAUCUCACUUGGAUGUAUGUCUGGGGGUUGAAGGAACCCCCAUUUUAAUGGCGGCCUUACCUAUGAGGGUCCUAAGGUAGCGAAAUACCUUGGCAUUUAAAUGAUGUCGCGCAUGAAUGAUCUAACGAUGCAACAGCUGUCUCAAUGAUUGGCUCAGUGAAACUGGAAUGGCAGUGAAGAUACUGUCUACCUCUAGAUAGACGAGAGUGCGACUAGCAAAGCACUUAAUAGCAAUGUGGUGAGAACCCACCAGAUAAUCCAUUGUCUGAGCUCACACGGCAUGCAUUAAAAGUAAUUUUUUUGUGUGAAGCCCGUUAAUUAAGUUAAAAACUGUCCUGCCUAAUCCCCCCUUUUUAUUGAAAAAAAAGGGAGUUAAUUAGGGAGGUGAGCUAUAUUACUAAGGAUAAGAUUUCUGAAUUCACGUUUGAGGCGUACUAGAGGGUAGUUAUUAUAGAAUGAAAAAAAAGAUGAAAGAUAACUACUGUUGAUUGAAUAGCCAUAUUUCGCAUGUCUAUUAAUGGAUCUUAUGUCAACAUACGUAUAGUGGAAUCCUAAGGUAAUAAUUAAAGUGCUAUUAAGUGAACUAGGUAAGCCCAAUAAUGCCCUCGGCCUCUUCCC
RNAcentral lists this ribosomal RNA (2573 nucleotides) under Rhytidhysteron rufulum CBS 306.38. Lineage: Eukaryota; Fungi; Ascomycota; Dothideomycetes; Hysteriales; Hysteriaceae. The record is from RNAcentral.